AGAAUCAACGCUGGCGGCGUGCCUAACACAUGCAAGUCGAACGAGAAAGUGGAGCAAUCCACGAGUAAAGCGGCGCACGGGUGAGUAACACGUGACUAACCUACCCUUGAGUGGGGGAUAACCUAGGGAAACCUGGGCUAAUACCGCAUAAUACCUACGGGUCAAAGGAGCAAUUCGCUUAAGCGAGGGGUCGCGGCCGAUUAGUUAGUUGGCGGGGUAAUGGCCCACCAAGACUGUGAUCGGUAU
RNAcentral lists this ribosomal RNA (246 nucleotides) under uncultured bacterium. RNAcentral's name for it is "partial small subunit ribosomal RNA". It matches the Rfam family "Bacterial small subunit ribosomal RNA", at positions 26 to 286 of the family's 1533-position model. The record is from RNAcentral.